CCUACGGGCGGCAGCAGUGAGGAAUAUUGGUCAAUGGUCGGGAGACUGAACCAGCCAAGCCGCGUGAGGGAUGAAGGUACAGAGUAUCGUAAACCUCUUUUGUCAGGGAACAAAGGCGGGGACGUGUCCCCGGAUGAGUGUACCUGAAGAAAAAGCAUCGACUAACCCCGUGCCAGCCGCCGCGGUAAUACGGAGGAUGCGAGCGUUAUCCGGAUUUAUUGGGUUUAAAGGGUGCGCAGGCGGUCGUGUAAGUCAGCGGGCAAAGCCCGGGGCUCAACCCGGGACCGCCGUUGAAACUGGCAGGCUAGAGUUGGAGAGAGGUAUGCGGAAUGCGCGGUGUAGAGGUGAAAUGCAUAGAGAUCGCGCAGAACUCCGAUUGCGAAGGCAGCAUGCCGGCUCCACACUGACGCUGAGGCACGAAAGCGUGGGUAGCGAACAGGAUUAGAUACCCCGGUAGUC
RNAcentral lists this ribosomal RNA (459 nucleotides) under uncultured bacterium. RNAcentral's name for it is "partial 16S ribosomal RNA". It matches the Rfam family "Bacterial small subunit ribosomal RNA", at positions 338 to 795 of the family's 1533-position model. The record is from RNAcentral.